AUACGUAGGUCCCGAACGUUGCGCGAAAUUACUGGGCGUAAAGGGUCCGUAGGCGGUCUGGUAAGUGGUAGGUGAAAGCCUGGGGCUCAACUCCAGAAUUGCCUUCCAAACCGCCGGACUUGAGGCAGGGAGAGGUCGGCGGAAUUCCCGGUGUAGUGGUGAAAUGCGUAGAUAUCGGGAGGAACACCAGUGGCGAAGGCGGCCGACUGGAACUGUCCUGACGCUGAGGGACGAAAGCCAGGGGAGCGAACCGGAUUAGAAACCCUAGUAGUCC
Molecule: ribosomal RNA, 274 nt
Filed under: uncultured bacterium
Lineage: Bacteria
Description: partial 16S ribosomal RNA
Rfam family: Bacterial small subunit ribosomal RNA
Source: RNAcentral